AUACGAAGGGGGCGAGCGUUGUUCGGAUUUACUGGGCGUAAAGGGCGCGUAGGCGGCCAUCUUUGUCAGGCGUGAAAGCCCCGGGCUCAACCUGGGAACUGCGUCUGAGACGGGGUGGCUAGAGAUCGGGAGAGGAGCGUGGAAUUCCCAGUGUAGAGGUGAAAUUCGUAGAUAUUGGGAAGAACACCGGUGGCGAAGGCGGCGCUCUGGACCGAUACUGACGCUGAGGCGCGAAAGCGUGGGGAGCAAACAGGAUUAGAUCCCCCGGUAGUCCUAGCCGUAAACGAUGUACACUUGGUGUGAGCCGGUGUUCGGUUUGUGCCGAAGUUAACGCGAUAAGUGUACCGCCUGGGGAGUACGGUCGCAAGGCUGAAACUCAAAUGAAUUGACGGGU
RNAcentral lists this ribosomal RNA (394 nucleotides) under uncultured bacterium. RNAcentral describes it as "partial 16S ribosomal RNA". It matches the Rfam family "Bacterial small subunit ribosomal RNA", at positions 523 to 918 of the family's 1533-position model. The record is from RNAcentral.